UGGAGGCCAUAUUACGCUUU
RNAcentral lists this small nuclear RNA (20 nucleotides) under Arabidopsis thaliana (thale cress). RNAcentral's name for it is "snRNA_02386". Lineage: Eukaryota; Viridiplantae; Streptophyta; Magnoliopsida; Brassicales; Brassicaceae. The record is from RNAcentral.